RNAcentral lists this transfer RNA (77 nucleotides) under Dehalococcoidia bacterium. Its description in RNAcentral is "tRNA-Arg". It matches the Rfam family "tRNA". From Rfam's summary of the family: Transfer RNA (tRNA) molecules are approximately 80 nucleotides in length. Their secondary structure includes four short double-helical elements and three loops (D, anti-codon, and T loops). Further hydrogen bonds mediate the characteristic L-shaped molecular structure. tRNAs have two regions of fundamental functional importance: the anti-codon, which is responsible for specific mRNA codon recognition, and the 3' end, to which the tRNAs corresponding amino acid is attached (by aminoacyl-tRNA synthetases). tRNAs cope with the degeneracy of the genetic code in two manners: having more than one tRNA (with a specific anti-codon) for a particular amino acid; and 'wobble' base-pairing, i.e. permitting non-standard base-pairing at the 3rd anti-codon position. The record is from RNAcentral. Lineage: Bacteria; Bacillati; Chloroflexota; Dehalococcoidia. RNAcentral also lists the same sequence under 1 other name.
GUCCCUGUAGCUCAGUAGGAUAGAGCAACUGCCUUCUAAGCAGUGGGUCGUGCGUUCGAGUCGCACCAGGGACGCCA